RNAcentral lists this small nuclear RNA (102 nucleotides) under Arabidopsis suecica. Lineage: Eukaryota; Viridiplantae; Streptophyta; Magnoliopsida; Brassicales; Brassicaceae. The record is from RNAcentral.
GUCCCUUCGGGGACAUCCGAUAAAAUUGGAACGAUACAGAGAAGAUUAGCAUGGCCCCUGCGCAAGGAUGACACGCAUAAAUCAAUUACGAAAUAUAUCGUA